RNAcentral lists this ribosomal RNA (107 nucleotides) under Deltaproteobacteria bacterium. The record is from RNAcentral. Lineage: Bacteria; Pseudomonadati; Myxococcota; Myxococcia.
UAUGUCGUGGAGGCCCCACCCGUUCCCAUCCCGAACACGGAAGUUAAGCUCCACAGAGCCGAUGGUACUGCAUUUUAGGAGUGUGGGAGAGUAGGUCGCCGCCGGAU